UACUUCAAUUUCUCGUCUCUCUCUCUCUCUCUGCGAAAUUCUACCGCCUUCCUUUUAGUGUAGGAUGUAUGCAUUUCAGAUCUAAUCUCGCAGUCGCCGCCCAACAUUCUCUCUUUCUUCACAUUAAUCUCACCGCUGAUUAAGGAUGAUGGCCAGAAGUGCUGUUGCUUGUGCAAUUGAUCUCAUUCAUGGAAGAGGAUUUCUCAAUCGAUGGUCGCAUAAAUCGGGUAUUCUCUCUCCUUCUUUCUCUCUCUUCUCUUCGGAGGCUUUUCAACCUAAGCGGCCCACAAUUGAUUUCAGUUGUGUUAAAGAAGUAGACCAUGUUAUUGAAUUGUUUCGAAAAAUAAAGAGUUUGCGGCCAGAGCGUUCUGUUCGCCUCUACAACAAACUCAUGAGUGUUAGUGUAAAGAUUGAGCAGUAUUAUUGUGCCCUUGAUGUGUUCGAUGAAAUGCUUAGGAUGGGUGUUCCAGUUAAUUAUUACACAAGGAAUAUUGCUGUCAACUGUUGUUGUCUCUUGAAAGAUAUAUACUCUGCUUUUGCUGUAAUGGUAUUCUUUCUCAAGAGAGGUUACGGACCAGAUACUGUGACAUACGGCACUCUCAUUAAAGGGUUAUUCUUAGUUAAUAAGGAGGCUGAAGCCGUGAGAUUGUUCGAAAAGAUUGUGGAUUUAAAACUUUGCGAGCCAAAUGGUGUUAUGAUUCUGCAUGUGAUUGAUGGGCUGUGCGAAGCUGGACAGGUCCUUGAAGCCCAUGAUUGGUUUCAUAGAUUAGAAAGUAGUGGGUGGAGUCCCAACGUUAAAGCUUAUAGUGCACUAAUUGAUGGAUUUUGUAAGGGUGGAAUGGUGGAUAAUGCCUUCAAGGUUCUAAUCAAAAUGGUUGGGAAGGGUAUUUUACCUGACGUUGUCACUUAUAAUUCCAUGAUCAAUGCAUACUGUAAGGAAGAAAAGAUGGAAGAUGCUGAGAAUAUGUUGGAAAUUAUGACGCAACAAAGUAUUUAUCCUGAUGUCUUCACUUAUUCUUCGCUUAUUGAAGGUCUCUGCCUGAAGGGUGGAAUCGAAAAAGCGAAACAAUUACUUGAUUCGAUGGUAGAGAGGGGCCUUAAACCCAAUAUUGUUAACUAUAACACUUUGCUAAAUGGAUAUUGCAAGAAGGGAAGCGUGGAUGAAGCUUGGCUUAUUUUUCUUGAAAUUCCCGAUAAAGGUCUCGAGCAUAAUGUGCGAACUUAUAAUACAUUAUUGGAUGGGUUGUUGAAGCGUUGGAUGGUUGAUGAAGCUCUGCUUCUGCUGUCCGAGAUGGUGGAAAAGGGUAUCUCGCCUAAUGUUGUCACAUGCAGCAUAUUGAUAGAUGGAUAUUGCUCGGAUGGCAAGAUGGUUAGAGCUAGAGAGCUCUUCAAUUCUAUGGCAAAGACAGGUAUCAAGCCCAAUAUAUUCACCUACGAUAUCUUGAUUAAGGGAUACUGCAAGGCAAGAAACCUAGAAGAAGCGUGGCGUUUGUUUGAUGAAAUAUCGCGUGUAGGUCUCAGAUACUCUACCGUGUCAUACAACACAAUGAUGCACUGGGUAGUACGCCAAAGUAGAUUUUCAAACGGGUGGAAGCUUUUCGUGGAUAUGGAAGCUCAGAAGCUCCAUCCGGAUCUUUACACCUACAACAUCUUGUUGGAUGGCUUGUGUCGGAUCUGUCGGAUCGAUGAGGCGUUUGCGUUUUUUACGGUGAUGGAGGCGAAUGGCUUGAAACCUGAUAUCGCAACAUAUGGUGUUCUGAUCAACGGCUUAUGCAAGGGCGGAAGACUUGAUGAAGCUAUAAGGCUCUUCAACCAUCUCCCUUCCAAGGGCUUAAAUCCGAACGUACAAAUCUACAGCAUGAUGCUCGACUCCCUCUACCAUGAAGGACGUGAAGGGGAGGCGAGGAUGUUGAUGGUGGAGAUGGAGAGGAGUGGCUGCCCGCCUAAUGGCGUUACAUUCAACAUUAUUGUGUGGAAUCUGGUGAAGAGCAAAAAGGUGCAUGAGGCAAUACCUUUCUUGGAGGAGAUGUGCAGGAGAGGACUUGAGGUUAAUUCAGAGAUCAUUUCUGCAUUGCUUGAGGAACUCAGAAUAGGAGAAGUUAAUGAUAAAUUGCAAGAGAUUGUUAAGAAAGUUUGUGCUCAAAAUUGAGAGAGGUCUCAAUCUACUCUCAGCUUUUCUUUUGUCUCUAACACUUGGAUUAUUCAAGGGUUGUGCUAUGCUGGUAUAUUACAAGGGAAGCUGAGGCUGCGAAGAAGCCUUUGUGUUCCAUGGAAACACAGCUCGGGAGCACAGGGACAUCAAGCUGGCUCAGAUGAGAAGCGCCACGAAACUUCGUACACCAAGAUACUUUCUGUAACUAUCGGUAAGGAAAGCAAUGCUGCUUUUGCAGUUCGUCUCCGUGGUUUUCGUAUUGUUGGGAGAAUCGCAAGAGUGUAUUGGAAAAGUCAUGUGGUGACGGCUGGAAUUUGCGCGCUGCUUAGAACAGUUUGCGUUGUGACCACUCUGUUAUUUCCUUAUGCUUUUGUUAACUAUUCUAAUCUUGAGAAGAAAGAUCUCAAAAAGGGUGUUGUCUUGUUGGUUUCAGACCGAUCGAGAUUGAGGUCGUUUUCUGAGAUCCUCAACAACAUGAAGAAGAUCAUCAAGCUGCAGUCGUGCGUUAAUUAGGAUUUUAAUUUAUACGUAAAUGCGUUUGAAUUCAUAAUAAAAUAGGGUGAACUUAUGCAAAAACUCGAUUGGAGUUAAUUAGGAUUUUAGUUUGAAUUUAUUUAGUCGUUACUAAAAUUAUCGUAAAUGAACUUUACUGUAAUUGUGCAUGAAUAUGUACUUGUAAAAAUGAAAGUACAAUAAUUAGAUGGGGGAUUUUA
Salvia miltiorrhiza (redroot sage) is the source of this 2865-nucleotide RNA transcript. It is a transcript of the gene named pentatricopeptide repeat-containing protein At1g62670, mitochondrial-like, with no coding region annotated. The transcript is spliced from 2 exons. The record is from RefSeq and is a predicted model, not a curated record. Lineage: Eukaryota; Viridiplantae; Streptophyta; Magnoliopsida; Lamiales; Lamiaceae.